UGUGGGCGAAGGGGUGAAAGCAAACAAAACACACUGCCAUGUGUGUACCUAUGCAACUGUAUUGCAUGCUCUGCACAUGUACCCCAAAACCUAAAAUGCAAUAAAAAAAUAAGAAUAAUAGAAAAAAAAUAGGUGCUAAAGAAAAUUCAGAAGGAAAGUGGGUUACCAGACCACAGAGAUGUUUUCCAAACCUCUCUCUCAUCUACGUCAAGGUACCUACUGGGGGCUUCAAGCCAUCUGUGAUGCAGUCCUCAGAGUUUACGGGUGCAUAGGAAAGUAUACCUUGGCCAAAAAGUUUACAGAUGGUUGCUUAGUAUGUAAAAAAAAACAAAAACAAAAACAAAAACCUAAAAACAAACUAUAAAAGGAUUACCCCUUGGGGAAGUAAUCCAGGCGUAAGGCCAUUCCAAAAUAUCCAAACUGAUUACACUGAGAUGCCUCCAAUUGGUCAUCUAAAGUAUUCAUUAGUAAUAGUAGAUCACCUUACUUAUUGAGUAAAAGCUAGUCCCUUUUCAGGUACAACUACUAAUAAUGUGUUCAAGUCAUUAGUUGAAAAUAUCAUACCUAGGUUUGGAUUAAUAGAAAACAUUGAUUUAGAAAAUGGGACUCAUUUUACUUAUAUGUCUUUAAAAAAAUUAGUCCAGGUACUGGACAUAACACGGGAAUAUCAUACUCCCUGGCACCUACCUUCAUUAGGAAGAGUGGAAAGAAUUAACCAAACUAAAAAGUCCCCUAACCAAAUUAGUCUUAGAGUCUUGGUUGCCAUGGACCAAAUGCCUUCCCAUUGCCCUGUUGAUAAUCCAAACUGCUCCUCAGAGAGGUGUUGGCUUAUCCCCUUAUGAAAUGUUGUAGAAGUUUCCCUAUUUGCACUCCACUUCUGACAUUCCCAAGUUCAAAACAAAAGAUCAGUUUCUCAGGAAUUAUAUACUUGGUUUAUCUUCCACUUUCUCUUCCCUCAGAACUAAAAGUCUUUCAGCACAGGCAUCACGUACAUCAACAUCAGCCUGGGGAUCACAUCCUCAUCAAAAGCUGUAAGGAGGAAAAGCUUAAACUGGCCUGAGAAGGAUCUUACCUAGUGCUCCUGACUACUGGAACUGCAGUCCAGUUAGCUGAAAAAUAAUGGCUCCAGAGUCAUGGGCCAUAGUCCCCAGGGAAAACCCCACCAAACUAAAGCUACAAAAAGUUUAACCCUCUUUCAUCUACUCUAUUACUCCUUCUUUCCUUGUUCUAUUGCAAUUCACCUCAUUGUUAAUGUAACCAAGUCAAUUUCAUGUCAAACUAUUACAUUUAAUGCUUGCCUUUUUAUACCCUGUGGAGACUUGUAAAGUCAAAGAUGGCUUUCCACUUCAGAAAAGUACUCUGUCCUUCCUGGCUCUCCUCAGACUGGACAUUAGUGAAUCAGGAUCAUUUAGUCUGGGGAGAUUUUGAUGAAGACCCCAGGGUCAACUGGGAGUCUUGCCCUCCUGAGGCAGAACUUCUUUGCUGUACUUGGUCCGACAUUCUGUGGACCACUAAAGAGCAAUCUCCCCACCUCCCACUAUCCCUCCCCUAGCCUCCCACACCCCCAACAGACUCCAAUGUGUGAUGUUCCCCUCCCUGUGUCCAUGUGUUCUCAUUGUUCAGCACCCGCCUGUGAGUGAGAACAUGCAGUGUUUGGUUUUCUGUUCUUGGAUCAGUUUGCUGAGAGUGAUGGUUUCCAGAUUCAUCCAUGUCCCUGCAAAGGACACGAACUCAUCCUUUUUUAUGGCUGCAUAGUAUUCCACAGUGUAUAUGUGCCACAGUUUCUUUAUCGAGUGUAUCAUCGUUGGGCAUUUGGGUUGGUUCCAGGUCUUUGCUAUUGUAAACAGUGCCACAAUGAACAUAUGUGUGCAUGUGUUUUUAUAAUCGAAUGAUUUAUAAUCCUUUAGGUAUAUUUCCAGUAAUGGGAUUGCUGGGUCAAAUAGUAUUUCUAUUUCUAGAUCCUUGAGGAAUCACCACACUGUCUCCCACAAGGGGUGAGCUGAUUUACACACCCACCAACAGUGUAAAGGCAUUCGUAUUUCUCCACAUUCUCUCCAGCAUCUGUUGUCUCCUGAUUUUUAAAUGAUCGCCAUUCUAACUGGUGUGAGGUGUUACCUCAACAUGGUUUUGAUUUGCAUUUUUCUAAUGAUCCGUGAUGAUGAGCAUUUUUUCAUAUGUUUGUUGGCAACAUAAAUGUCUUCUUUUGAAAAGUAUCUGUUCAUAUCCUUCACCCACUUUUGAUGGGUUUGUUUGUUUUUUUCUUGUAAAUUUGUUUUAUUUCUUUGUAGAUUCUGGAUAUUAGUCCUUUUGCCAGAUGGGUAGAUUGCAAAAAUUUUUUCCCAUUCUGUUGGUUGCUGGUUCACUCUAACCAUUGUUUCUCUUGCUGUACAGAAGCUCUUAAGUUUAAUUAUAUCCCAUUUGUCUCUUUUGGCUUUUGUUGCCAUUGCUUUUGGUGUUUUAGUCAUGAAAUCUUUGCCUAUGCCUAUGUCCUGAAUGAUAUUGCCUAGGUUUUCUUCUAGCAUUUUAAUGGUGUUAGGUCUUAUAUUUAAGUCUUUAAUCCAUCUGGAGUUAAUUUUUGUAUAAGGUGUCAGGAAGGGGUCCAGUUUCUGCUUUCUGCACAUGGCUAGCCAGUUUUUGCAACACCAUUUAUUAAACAGGGAAUCCUUUCCCCAUUGCUUGUUUUUGUCAGGUUUGUCAAAGAUCAGGUGGUUGUAGAUAUGUGGGGUUACCUCCAAGGCUUCUGUUUUGUUCCAUUGGUCUAUAUCUCUGUUUUGGUACCAGUACCAUGCUGUUUUGAUUACUGUAGCCUUGUAGUAUAGUUUGAAGCCCAGUGGUGUGAUGUCUCCUGCUUUGUUCUUUUUGCUUAGAAUUGACUUGGCUAUACAGGCUCUCUUUUGGUUCCAUAUGAAGUUUAAGGUGUUUUUUCCCAGUUCUGUGAAGGAGGUCUAUGGUAGCUUGAUGGCACUAGCAUUGAAUCUGUAAAUUACUUUGGACAGCAUGGUCAUUUUCAUGAUACUGGUUCUUCCUAACCAUGAGCACGGAAUGUUUCUCCAUCUCUUUGUGCCCUCUCUUAUUUCGUUGAGCAGUGGUUUGUAGUUCUCUUUGAAGAGGUCCUUUACAUCCUUUGUUUGUUGUAUUCCUAGGUAUUUGAUUCUCUUUUUGGCUGUUGUGAAUGGGACUUUGCUCAUGAUAUGGCUCUCCUUCUAUUAUUAUAGUAUAGGAAUGUUUGUGACUUUUGCACAUUGAUUUUGUAUCCUAAGACUUUGCUGAAGUUGUUUAUCAUCUUAAGGAGAUUUUCUGCUGAGACGAUGGGAUCUUCUAAAUAUGCAAUCAUGUCAUCUGCAAAUAGAGACAGUUUGAUUUCCUCUUUUCCUAGUUGAAUACCCUUUAUUUCUUUUUCUUGCCUGAUGGCUCUUGCUAGGUUUUAGCUUUCUUACAUUGCUGUAUCACUUGCACCUGUCCAUGUGGUUUUUAUAUUUCAACGUUUUGUUAUAUGUCUCAUCUGGUGUUAUUCUCUCUCACUGUUUCUAUCUUUGUGGGUUUUUACCUUUAAAAAUGUUAUCUGUGUGGAAGUGGAGAGAUAUGUGUAUGCUUCAACAUAUUCAGGUUGGAAGUCUUCUCUUUCCUUAUUAUUCCUGAGGUCUUUCUGAUUUAUGUACUGGAUUGAUCCCUGAACAAUUUGUCAGACAGAUAUUGGAGUUGAAUGAUAAUUUUCCACAAAAUGAUGCCACUCACUCCAUGUUCCUUUCAACAACACUAACACUCAUCUAGUAUGUGCUAGAUAUUGGGCUAAACCAUUUAAACCCAUCACAACCUUACAGGGUAGAACUAUUAUGCUUAUUGCACACAUGAGGAAAAUAAAGCUUAGAGAGUGUCAACAGUAUACUCAGUGUCAUACAGCUCACAAGUGGAGGAAACUUGAUUUGAACCAGGGAACUUAGCUCUAGAUCUCAGUCCAUGCGGGAUGCAGCUCUCCAAUUCUCCAAAAGGCUAACAUUAGUGAUAUUGAAUCCUGAUGAGAAACAAAAAUUAGGGCAAAGUAUAAAACUUCCAAAUUUUUGGCUCUUGUCACCUUUGCUAUGGAUAGGUUUUCUUUUUCAGAAGUCAAAAUACUUUGUGCUGGCACAAUGGCUGUCCUGUCAAUAAAGAUCUUUUGAAAUGAGCUAUAGAGCUUCCAGUUUUGAUAAUGGUGGCCCGGAAUUUGGAAUGAUGCUGCCGAUGAAGAAGACUAAAACUACCAUACAAAAUAUCUGCUUGAAGAAAUUAUAUUGUUUAUAAGACAGAAAAAACAUUAGCCCAAUCCACACAGCAAUUGAAAGGUUCAGAGCAGCCUAAACUGAGAGAUCCUGAGCUCACAGACUCCUUGCUUUAUUCUUGUUUUAGAUAGCAACUCAUGUCUUCAGAAUACAUCAGCAUCCUGUUGUUAAGGACAUAGAAAAGAAAAAGAUGGGAAGGCUUGUCUCCCUCAUCUGUCACAUGAGUUCUCUGUUCCGUGCUUUGGCUACAUGGUGUUGGCUACUGAAGAGACCGUCUGCACCUAUAUAGACAGCGUUUCAUCAUGUUGGCCAGGCUGGUCUCAAACUUCCGAUCUCAGGUGAUCCACCUGCCUCAGCCUCCCAAAGUGCUGGGAUUACAGGUUUGAAGCAACUGACAAAGAGAAGUGGCCAAGCUGUGGUCCAUCCGGCGUCAGUCUAUGCCUGAACACAUGCAUAGCUUACCAACCUCCAACGGCUUCACCAGCCCUCUGCUUGCAAGGCUGAAGACCUCAGGCAGUCUUUACAAGUUGGUUGUCUUGUAACACCCAUGAGAAAGCUGGUCCUAUCUCGGCAACCCUGUUGAGCCCGUUAGCUGUUCCGCAGAACCACUGCCCUUGAUAUCCUCUACAGUGAAGCUUUCCAUCGAGGCUUUUGCAUCUUAAAGCCCUGCCAGCUUGUAGGCUACUUGAUGCAUCUGUCAAAAGGCAACAGCCUUCCUGAGCUACUCUUGGUGGACUAUUAUCUUUUUUAGACUUAGGAAAGUCUUUGUGCUUCUUAACUUUGGCCUAGCCCAGGGAUUAAGGACUACUCUUAAGGACUCCCUGUCAGCUUGUUUAGCUUUGGGCUGAUUCAGAUGGACCAGCGAGACAGUGAAGGGUUGGAAGGGCUGACAGAGCUGAAGGCAGAGGACCAGUGUGGAAGAGAGACGGCGGCGUGGGCAAAUAAAACCACGAAGGCUUGGUGUCUGUCUCCUCAAGGAAUUUGUUAGAGAUACAACUUUGGGAUCCUCAUUUCUUUCUGAAGCCUCCUUAUAUCACAUUGUGCUAACCAGCAGCUGUCAGAGAUCCUGGGCCCCUUUGGUUCUAUAGUGCCUCUUAAGCAGAUUCAAAAUUUUUCUCAAGUGGCCACAGAAGUUCUAAAUUAUUCACUGUGAAAUUAUGUUAUUCCUAAAGAUGACACAAGACUCAGGACUAUUAUGAGAAAUGUGUCACGAGCCAGUGUCCCACCCACCAGGGGUCGACAUCAACUUCAAAUCACUCCCCUGAUAAACAAGCCAUCUGAGUGUCACAGAUGUUGAUUCUUUACCUGUACCCCAGGCUCCUCGGUGGAGAUGAUUUAGCCCUUCCUGUCUGUAACCUGGCAGUCGGCGACUCAGGGCAGAAUUCCAGGGAGCAGAUCUCUCCGAGAGCAAAAGCCUCAGGCAGGAGACCAGGUGGAGACACAGGGCGGUAAAGCUUUCACAGGUGACUGCCUGCAUUUGUCUCAGGAAGGGUCCUGGUCUAAUGAGAAUGUUUGCUCCUCAUUCCUCAGGAGCAGAUAGAGACUUGUUGGACUCGUGUCUGCCUGUCAUUCUAGGAAUUUCUGUUAUAAACAAACGUCAUCUACGAUGUGCACAGGGAGACAGGGACAUUAAUAAAAUAAAAGCAAACCAAAAACUUUGGCAUAUUUUCACCAAGGGAUACAAACAUAAACUUGAUCAAAUUAACAAUAUUCAAGAGGCUAAAACAGGUCCCCACACAGGGCCAAAAUCCUGGGAUGCAAAAUAAACUCAAUGAGGAAAGUGAAUACAGUGGGCGUGGAGUGGGGCUGGGGAGGCUUCCUCACCGUGGCGGGCCACACCUCCUGUCAGGGACUCCAGGCCCCUCUGCACUGUUAGGAACCAGCUUUUACUACUUCUUACUCUGGGGCAUUUCUCCUAGCUGGUUUCAGUGCUCAUGGUGGGGGCAUGUGGUUGCACUGUCCUAGAGAAAAAUAACCAUCCAUUCGUUCAUGCAUUCUUCAUAGGGAGAAUGCUGUGUGCUAUGCGUGGGGGAUGCCAUGAAGCAAGCGGCUCUUAGUCAUCAGCCUGCAACCUAACCACCGGGACAGCUACAACCUGGAUUCUGUAGGUCUGGGGUUAGGGCUGAGAAAUAUUGAUUCUAGCAAUCUCCCAGGCGACUUUUGCUCCAGGUCUGGGGUCCACACUUUGAGAAUCACUGUAAUGGAGAAUAAAAUACUCCACAGAGAUGAUAGGUCAGGGCUGGUGAGGAGAGCUGCUCUUCACACCCAUUCGGUUGUUCAGGCUUCCACCGGUAGGCUCUGUCCACUUCAGGAGGCCCCGGGAAAGUUUAUCUGGUGCCAGUUCUGUAAUGAGUCAGGGAUGGAAGCAUGUGGUUAUUAGAGCAGUGCAUCUAACUCCAGUGAUGUCUUCAUAUCCUACAUUACGGCAGGCCCUUGCUCUCAUCCUUCCCCCACCCCAGCAGCCUCCUAAGGGGCCCUUCCCCUAAAUCCAGCCCCCUCCUCUGGCAUUUCCUCAAAGGUAGCAUACAGUAAGUCUUCGUGUUGCAUACACUGUCUGCACUCCCAAGCUGGUAUUUCUCACUUUUAUCUCUAGGAGGUGAAAGGUCAGUUUUGGCAUCAUGCGGUCCCAAGCGUGAAUCCUGACUUUCCUUCACUGGCUGCAUGAUUUUGAGAAAACCAACUGUUUACAUUCCCUUCUGAAUAAUGAGAAUAAUCACACCUACCUCAUAAAGCUGUUGUGAGAAUUAAAUAAAAUAAUGCCUAAUGGUUCA
Long non-coding RNA from Callithrix jacchus (white-tufted-ear marmoset), 7027 nucleotides. RefSeq lists it as uncharacterized. The record is from RefSeq and is a predicted model, not a curated record. Lineage: Eukaryota; Metazoa; Chordata; Mammalia; Primates; Cebidae.